RNAcentral lists this transfer RNA (76 nucleotides) under Prauserella aidingensis. RNAcentral describes it as "tRNA-Lys". It matches the Rfam family "tRNA". From Rfam's summary of the family: Transfer RNA (tRNA) molecules are approximately 80 nucleotides in length. Their secondary structure includes four short double-helical elements and three loops (D, anti-codon, and T loops). Further hydrogen bonds mediate the characteristic L-shaped molecular structure. tRNAs have two regions of fundamental functional importance: the anti-codon, which is responsible for specific mRNA codon recognition, and the 3' end, to which the tRNAs corresponding amino acid is attached (by aminoacyl-tRNA synthetases). tRNAs cope with the degeneracy of the genetic code in two manners: having more than one tRNA (with a specific anti-codon) for a particular amino acid; and 'wobble' base-pairing, i.e. permitting non-standard base-pairing at the 3rd anti-codon position. Lineage: Bacteria; Bacillati; Actinomycetota; Actinomycetes; Pseudonocardiales; Pseudonocardiaceae. RNAcentral also lists the same sequence under 2 other names. The record is from RNAcentral.
GGGCCGUUAGCUCAAUUGGCAGAGCAGUGGACUUUUAAUCCUCGGGUUCCGGGUUCGAGCCCCGGGCGGCCCACCA